GGUAGGGCUUCCCAGGCUGGUGCCGGGCCCGGUCUUCAAAACCGGUGAAUGGUGCUGAGAGGCGCUGUUGGGGGGUUCGAUUCCCCUGCUCUACCGCCA
Molecule: transfer RNA, 99 nt
Filed under: Anaeromyxobacteraceae bacterium
Lineage: Bacteria; Pseudomonadati; Myxococcota; Myxococcia; Myxococcales; Anaeromyxobacteraceae
Also listed under: 2 other names
Description: tRNA-Sec
Rfam family: Selenocysteine transfer RNA
Source: RNAcentral